RNAcentral lists this ribosomal RNA (1406 nucleotides) under bacterium ACCC1. RNAcentral's name for it is "16S ribosomal RNA". It matches the Rfam family "Bacterial small subunit ribosomal RNA". The record is from RNAcentral.
UGCAAGUCGAGCGAACGGACGAGAAGCUUGCUUCUCUGAUGUUAGCGGCGGACGGGUGAGUAACACGUGGAUAACCUACCUAUAAGACUGGGAUAACUUCGGGAAACCGGAGCUAAUACCGGAUAAUAUUUUGAACCGCAUGGUUCAAAAGUGAAAGACGGUCUUGCUGUCACUUAUAGAUGGAUCCGCGCUGCAUUAGCUAGUUGGUAAGGUAACGGCUUACCAAGGCAACGAUGCAUAGCCGACCUGAGAGGGUGAUCGGCCACACUGGAACUGAGACACGGUCCAGACUCCUACGGGAGGCAGCAGUAGGGAAUCUUCCGCAAUGGGCGAAAGCCUGACGGAGCAACGCCGCGUGAGUGAUGAAGGUCUUCGGAUCGUAAAACUCUGUUAUUAGGGAAGAACAUAUGUGUAAGUAACUGUGCACAUCUUGACGGUACCUAAUCAGAAAGCCACGGCUAACUACGUGCCAGCAGCCGCGGUAAUACGUAGGUGGCAAGCGUUAUCCGGAAUUAUUGGGCGUAAAGCGCGCGUAGGCGGUUUUUUAAGUCUGAUGUGAAAGCCCACGGCUCAACCGUGGAGGGUCAUUGGAAACUGGAAAACUUGAGUGCAGAAGAGGAAAGUGGAAUUCCAUGUGUAGCGGUGAAAUGCGCAGAGAUAUGGAGGAACACCAGUGGCGAAGGCGACUUUCUGGUCUGUAACUGACGCUGAUGUGCGAAAGCGUGGGGAUCAAACAGGAUUAGAUACCCUGGUAGUCCACGCCGUAAACGAUGAGUGCUAAGUGUUAGGGGGUUUCCGCCCCUUAGUGCUGCAGCUAACGCAUUAAGCACUCCGCCUGGGGAGUACGACCGCAAGGUUGAAACUCAAAGGAAUUGACGGGGACCCGCACAAGCGGUGGAGCAUGUGGUUUAAUUCGAAGCAACGCGAAGAACCUUACCAAAUCUUGACAUCCUUUGACAACUCUAGAGAUAGAGCUUUCCCCUUCGGGGGACAAAGUGACAGGUGGUGCAUGGUUGUCGUCAGCUCGUGUCGUGAGAUGUUGGGUUAAGUCCCGCAACGAGCGCAACCCUUAAGCUUAGUUGCCAUCAUUAAGUUGGGCACUCUAAGUUGACUGCCGGUGACAAACCGGAGGAAGGUGGGGAUGACGUCAAAUCAUCAUGCCCCUUAUGAUUUGGGCUACACACGUGCUACAAUGGACAAUACAAAGGGCAGCGAAACCGCGAGGUCAAGCAAAUCCCAUAAAGUUGUUCUCAGUUCGGAUUGUAGUCUGCAACUCGACUACAUGAAGCUGGAAUCGCUAGUAAUCGUAGAUCAGCAUGCUACGGUGAAUACGUUCCCGGGUCUUGUACACACCGCCCGUCACACCACGAGAGUUUGUAACACCCGAAGCCGGUGGAGUAACCUUU